AAUAUUAGGCCUGAAUCUCCCCUCACUUAUUCAAUAAUAGAUCUCACCGUCUUCUUUCCCUCUUCAGGCAAGAAUACAGACCCCUUUCACCAUGGAUGAAUUUUGCUUCUCCAUUUUUGUGUAAUGGCUAUGUCAAUCACUUGAAGGACCAAGUCCAUCCAAGCUCACAACUCCCAACGUUUCAAAUUCAAAUGACUGAAAAAGAUCCUUCCCAAAAUCAAGAACCCUAGUUCUUCACCUAUAAAUACUCAAUUUUUUAGUCCAAAAAAAAUUCGGCCACAUAUCCCCUCAUAAAGCUCGCUGUAUAACUUCUGCUUGCAUCUCUCUGUCUCGGCCUUUGGAUUUUAGUCUUGGCGAAGAUUUUUGGCCGGCCAUACACGAUUUCAAUUCUAGGCUCUAAAAUGCCCUAGUUCACUGCUCCACGCAAGGUCAGUAGUUGUCCUCUUAGUUCAUUUUAGUUUCUCAUAUAUUUUGCUUCUACGUGUAUAGCAACAUUUGCUAAUUUCCCUUUUUCUUUUAGUAUUUUGAGCAUAGUAUUGGUAGUCAGGAUAUCUAUUGUCAAAUCUUGAUGCUUUAAAACGUUUCAAGUUGUCAUCUUGCUCUUUUGAUUCUAUUAGAAAUCAUGUGCUAUCACCUUUUUUGCAUUAUUUUUCUGUCGCAAUUACCACUUAGGUCCUAGACACGUGACAAAUCACUGCUUGCCUAGUUUCUAUUUAGUUAUUAAUAAAGCAAAUUUAAGAUGUUAUCCUUCAGUCAUGUAUUGUAUAUUUAUUCAGAAAGAAGCCUUAUUCUAUAUAUUUUAACAUCUUUAGUCCCACGUUAGAGAAUGCAAUUGGAUUUAAAAGUCUUUAUUUGUCUCACGACCAAUGUUUUAUUUCACGUCUGAACUAGUAGUAGGAUAAUGAACUAGGCACUUAAGUUUUUUUUUUUUAGUCAUAAUGUUUAACUGCUAGGAAGGACCAACGUUUUGAAAGUGAUAAAAUGCUCUCAUUUAUAGAUCAGGUGUCAUUUUUUUCACUUUUUGCAAAGAAUGGUAAGCUUGCAAUAGAAUCCAUGGUUAGGCAAUCUAAAGGCGAUGUUGAAACAUUGGUUGGGACUACAAAAAUAAAUCACAGCAUAGGACACUCACUUAUUUAAACUGUUUCACCAUUGUGAAUACUUGCUUCUGGGCAAUUCCUUACCAACCCGCAAAUUCUUAAACAUUAAUUGCAAGCCUUAAUAUACAAGAGCUUUAUACGUUUCGAUUUUGCUUGUUCUUUACCUGUUUGGAAUUUACUUUAAAUAUUUCAUUUGGUAAAGAUACUUGUCAAGUCUCUUGUGUUCUUUCCUCGUAAUGAUAAGGUAGCAAAUACUCUAAGUACCUCCUGGCUUUUUGUACGAAUUUGAAUUUUUUCCUUUUUCCUUUAUAUGUGCAUUUUGAAAUUCCAAUAUUUUCUUUCUCGUAUGAUUGCAAUAUAUAACUAUCUUCAUUACUUAUUCUUUAUUUUCUCCUUUCUUUACAUGUACGUUUUGGAGCAAAUGGAGUCUUAAUCCAAGACUCUAGCUAGUGAAGUCUCAAAAUGAGACGACCUUACCCCUAAUCCGAGCAAGGAGAUAUAUUCUAUACCCUCAAGUCAAAUUCGUUAGCAAUUUAAAGCCUCUUAUGUUCCUUCAAUCUCUAUUUUCUUUGUAUACAUAUGUCAUAUUGUCUUUCAUUACUUUCUUUGGAGCGGGUACAAUGUUGGCUAACCAAGUGGAAUAUUUUGUGACUCAGAUGACGUUGGCAUCGAAUUUCUUGAAGACUCCUUCCUUAACUUUCAAACUAAAAUUAGGCUUCAUCUUUCUCAGCUUUUACUUUAUGAGAGGACAAGAUGGAUCAUUUGGCAACCUAUGAGCAACAAUAUCUAUGCUUAGACCCAUCAUAUCAUCAUAGGACCAUGCAAACACAUAUACCAAUUAAUUCAUUCCUUUGGGAUGGAGUCAAAUGAACGCUAAUCCUUGUUUCUCUUAUGAAAUCUGAAUUCCUUAAGUUUAUCGUCUCAGUUUCAUCCAAAUUUAGUUUUGCCUUAUUUUUAAAAUAUUCAAAUUCCUUGAUCAACUCUUCAGACAUCGUGUCUUCUUCACAUUCUGCAAAGUCUUGUUCGCUAUUUAGAAUUGUUUAGCUUAUUUCGCUACAUGUCACAUUCAUAGUAUUAGCAGAUUUGUUAGUUUGCUUGCUAAAAAGGGAAAAAGAGAAGAUAAAUUAAUAAAGACGAUUUGAAAUGAAAGCAACAAAACAUAGUUUGGAUUUGGCAUUUAAGCUUUCAAAAAUGGAGGCAAAACACAUGAAUUUAUAAACAUGAUUCAGGCUUCAAUUUUGAAUCAUGUUGUAUCAUUCAUACUAAUACAAUCAUCUACCAAGAUUCCCGGAGAUUUAGGGAUGGGGUAUAAGUCCAAUUGUUCAAAGCAUCUCCAGGCUCAGCAUCCCAGAUAGUCAGGGUCUCAAUGCAAUCCUACAGAAUCGCAUUUCACUCAGCUUCUUCUUCAGUAAUGAACAAGCUUUUGACUCCUUCAAUGAGGUCUUCUUCAGCAUAUUCUUCUGAUACUUGGGCAACAAACGCUUUGGAAAAUGAUUGAUUCAGUAGUGGGACAGGCUUUGGCAGGAGAAUGUCACCUAUCCUUUUGAGAUAAUCCAACGAGACUUCUUCAGGAGUAGGCUAAUAUCCAAGACCAAAAAUGCUCGUCUUUCCGAACAAAUGAAUUGGAUCUAGUAUUCUAUCCAAGUUCACGCCAACACCUUGACCAGGCAUAAAACCAUUCUUCAACAUUUCUAUGGCCACCAUCAUAAGUGCCCGUGGCAACUUUAAACUUUUUACCUAAGCAGUACAUAUGAUCUCCUUAACAUGAAAAAUGAAUCCAUCCAACUUUUCCACACGUUCAAUAAUAGGGACUAGUUCUCCUGGUAGAUAGAACUAUUUUUCUCUCUAUGAAUCACAAUAUCAUGAUAAUCCCAAAUAAAUUUUAAAGUUUGGUGCAGGGUAGAAGGGACUGCGCCAGCACUGUGAACCCACAAUCUUCUAAGUAACAAAUUAUAACUAGCACAUAUGUCCAACACUUGAAAUUCCAUAGGUCCAAUUUGUAGUGCCAAAUCAAUUUCUUCAAUGAUUCACCUUUAACCCUCACAUUACUUUCACGAACCUUCCCAAUAUCAAUUUCUAAAGCCCGAAGAGUGGUAAAGGGCAAAUGUUAACAGUUGAGCCAUUGUUAAGAACUUUAGAAAUGAACUUGUUCCUACACUUGACAGUAAUGUUAAAUACUAUAUUGUGCCCCAGUCCCUCAGGUGGCAACUCAUUUUUAUGAAAAGAGACUAUAUUAGCUUCCAGAAAUUGACUCACCAAAGGUGAAAGAUUCUCUCUAGUAAUCUCAGUUGGAGCACAAGCUUUAUUCAACACCUUUACCAGAGCACACUUAUGAGUUACAGAAUUCAUCAAUAAUGACAAUAAGGAGAUUUGGGCAGGAGUUUUAUUUAGCUGUUCCACAACAGAAUACUCCUUAGUUGGCAUUUUCCUCAAGAAAUCCUCUACCUCAGCCUCUGUCAUGGCUUUUUUUUUUUUGAAUAUUCUUUUUACUUGGCACUUCUCUCACGACUCCUUCAGGGACAUAACAACGCCUGGAUCUUAUCAUUCCUACAGCAGUGGCUUCUACAACUAAGUUUUCCUUUCCUCUGUCCCCUGCAUUAGUUGAGUAAUUGUAAGGAACUAUUUUAGUAUCUGAAGGUUUUUAGCAACUAAGGCUGUGAUAGUAGGCCUGUGGCCAAGAAUUUCUACUUCAAUGGGCGCUCGCAUCUGGACUGUAACUAUAGGCGCAAUGAAAGCUGAUGUUUCAAUCUUUUUCUUAUCACUUAUAAAUACCAUAGUUUCUUUCAAAUUACAUUCUUCGUCAAUGGUGAUCAUGUUCACAUGGGCAUCCCCAUGAUUUGGCAAGGGAUUGUUGUUCACAUUGGGGGGAGCCCAUUUGAGCUGAAUAGCUCCUUUGAUUAGUGCCUCAAUACUAUCCUUGAGAGUAAGGCAAUCCUCAAUGUCAUGUCCAGCAACCCCGAAGUGAUAAACACAAUGCUUUGUCCCCUCAUACCAUUGGGAAUUCUACCUUGGAUCGGCUGGAGUACUCAUGCGGCUCUCAAUCUCUUAUAUAGUUGAGAUAAGAGUUCAGCUAGAGGUGUAUAGGUUUUGGUUGGCCUUUUUUCAUAGUUUAGGCAAAGUUUGGGGGAAUUUGGAGGAUGAUUUUAUGGAUGGUAGCGAUUUUAAGGUGUCUAGUUAGGCUAAUAUUAUGGUGGAUUUUGAUAGGUGGGUGCUCCAGAUGGGCAAUAUGCCAGCUGGAUGGUAUAAACUGGAUAUGGGGUAGGUAAAGGUUGGUAAUAUGGAUGAGGAUUUUGGGCAUAUUGAUUAUAGUAGGAAGGAUGGGGUGGCAAAUUUUGGUAUGUUAACAUUUGGUUCGAUUUUUUUUCUUGAAUAGUCAUGACAGCAAAAACUCCACAUUUUUCUGUUUAUUCACUCCCCCAGUUGUAUCAUACUGAAUUGCCUUACUUGUUUCUUGAAAAACUACUAGAGUAGUGAUUCUCCCAGUUUUAAUACCUUCUUCAACGAAUUCUCCUAUCCUAACAACUUUAGAGAAUUUCUGCGCAACCACGCUUAUCAACUUGUCAUAAUAUGUCGCAUCUUUUUAAGACUGCACAAAAAAGAAGUCAUCUCGCUUUCCACCAUCAGAGGUUGAACUUUUGAGGUAUCUACUCUCCACCACAUGCCAUAUUCUUUGAAGGACUUUGUCAAUUUAUUUCCCAUCUUCAUUAGAUGGAACCUAUUCAAUAUACCUUUAGUAUUAACUUGAACCUAUCCAUAAAUUCUUGUGCCAAAGCAUUCCAACCACGCUAUUUCCUUGGAUUUUGUCUCGUGUACCAAUCUAGAUCUUCUCCUAUCAAACUCAUUAUAAACAACUUUAUUCCAAUGGCCUUAUUCUCCCCUACUCCCACUAACUUGUCACAAUAUGACCUUAAAUGAGCUAUAGGAUUCCUUUUUUCAUCAAACAUAUCAAAUUUUGGCACCUUAUACCCUACCAACAACUCAACAUUUGGAUGAACACAUAAAUCUUCAUACUCACGUCCUUCACAUCCUUUCUGUUAUUAGAUGCUUCUAAACGUUUUCUUUAAACCAUGAAUCUCCUUUGCUACAUUUUCAUCUACUUUGGACCUUGCCUCUUUCUCCAUCUCCUCAUAAGGAUCAACUUCUUGCGUGGUUGGCAUCGGGAUAGUAAAAGGUUGAGCUCCCUCUACAUAUAUGUAAUACCCCGCAUGUUUCUAAGUUAGGAAGUGAAUAAGUAUUCCUACGUAUGAAAUCUUCUAUCCUGUGAUUCAUACUUGAGUAUAUGACUUACAAUGAAUAUCUUAGUGAUAUGAUAGCUUAUGAUGCAUUAAGCAUGUUCAUAUGAGUCACUUAAGGUAAUACAAGCUAAGAGUUUUUGAAUCCAUCAAGUUUUAGUGUUUGAUUUUGCAAGGGUCAUCUUUGAACGAGUAUAACUAGAUGUUAAUAUGGUAUUUUGGCUGAUUUAGACCCACCAAAUUGUANNNNNNNNNNNNNNNNNNNNNNNNNNNNNNNNNNNNNNNNNNNNNNNNNNNNNNNNNNNNNNNNNNNNNNNNNNNNNNNNNNNNNNNNNNNNNNNNNNNNNNNNNNNNNNNNNNNNNNNNNNUAGGCGAUUGGUUAGGCGCUGCCCAACGUAGCUUAGGCAAUCACUUGGGCUCCGCCUAAGUUAGUUCAAGGUGCAAAAAACACUCGGUUUUGAGUUAUUUUAUGGGUAAUUAAGUCUUUUAACACUCCUUACACGUCCCUAAACUUAACCCUACGAAAUAUAUAGCUUCUAAACAUAUUACAGACCUAUUAUCAUCUCAAAGCUCAUCAUCCAAGAGCACAAAAAGAGAAAAACAACUGGUGUUGCAUAACUAAGCUUGAAGAUCCGAUUUCAAAGAAAUUGCUCCGUCAAUCAACAAGAAUCUUCUUUCUAAGGUAUGUGUGAGUUGAUUUAUGGAUCUCUUUCAUCCAUAAAGCUCAAAAACCCUCUUUUUCAUUAUGAUUUCUAUAUUGUUGGGUGUUGAUGAUCAUGUUGUUGAUAUUGGGUGAUUCCCAAGAUGGAAUCUUUAUAUGUUUUCAUGAAUUCAUGAUAUCAUAUGAGUUGGAAACAUGUAAAUUUGGUUGUUCAUGAUGUAUAAUUUGAUGAUUUCACCUAUGCUUAAGAUGUGCAUAUAAGGUGUUUGAUAAAAUGCCUAAGAAACUAGAAAUCAUACAAUAUAGAUAAAUUGUGACUAAGUGAAGGAUUCAUGAUAUGCCCUUAUGUUCCAAUGACUCCUAUGUUGAUAAUGUGCCUUGUAAAUGUUGUUGGAAUACUCAUGAACUAUUCUUAUGAGAUUAUGCUAUAUUUACUUGCAAAUCCUACUUAUGAACAAGAUGUAUGAUAACCAUGCAAUCCACAUGAACUUUCAUGCUAUUGGUAUGUGUUGCCAAUAUGAUUAUGCAAUGAACAUGAUAUUAAGAUUGUGCAAGUACUUCCAUAUGAUAUGAAAUUCUUUCCAUGUAUGAUUCCAUAGACUUCAGUCAGUCAUGUGACUCAGGAAAAUCUCAUGAUCUUAGUCAGUUGUCAGAUAUCAGUAACAUUCCUCCAGUCAAUGGAAUUCAGAAAGAUUAACUCAUGCGCAGUCAGUUAUUCAUGUCCAGUCCCUCCAGAUAGGAGUAGAGGUUCGCAUCGAGUGAACCCAAAGAUGGGAACUCACCCGUCAGUUCAGGGUGUGAUUCUUAGUAGUCAUCUUUGUGUUCCAGAACUACGUAGCCAGCAUUGGUUAAGACAUCUUAAUCCAUCAGAUUAAGGUUGACGAGGUGGCUUAACCCGUCAGUUUAGGGUUCCCACCAUUCUGAUUGAGUACCCGCCAGAUAAGGGUCACUCACAGGCUGUCCUUACCCAUGGCACGGUAUUGACACCCCUCCAGUCGGGGCAGAGAUUGGACCCCAGCUUAGCCAAAACGACAUACAUGGGUCAUGUCGGUUAAACACUACUUCCCACAAUUUCAGUAUUAGUCUCAGUAAAAAAACUCAGGGCGUUCUUCAGAUUUCAGUAUAUACAGGACUGUUAGAUACAGUCGUCCAUGUUAUCAGUUUUAGUAUCAGUCGUGACAGUUAUCAGUAAACCAUGUAUUAGCUUACAGGUCAUGCUAUCACGUAUUCACGAUCCCAGUUUCUAUAUAUGUGUGUUUGAACUCCCACAUUCAUAUUAGUUAGUCAGUGUUGUUCAUUCAUGAAACCCUUUAUGUUCAGCCUACCUUCCUCGUAUACUCAGUACGCCAAAUAAUUGAGAUUAUUAUAAAUCGAUCCAAGCCAUUAAUUCGGGACAAGCUUUGAGUUUGAAAAUAAUAAACAAGUUUCAUUUGAAUACUAAUCGAGUACAAUGAUAAGAAAUAAUAAGAUAUGCUAAUUAUUUAUAAGAAGAUGAGAAAACUUUAGAAGAACCUCGCCAUAAAAAUCUAGUUUUCAAAAUUAUCAAAGACAAUUUUUAUAAGACCUCGUAGAAGUGAUGCAACCUUAUUUUUUUGGUCAAAAGUGAGUUAUUUAAAAUCUUUCUAGGAAGUUAUUAGGUUUCAUUGUAAGUAGGAAAGACAUAGAAUUAGAUCUUUUAAAAGUAAAGGUUAUCCAAGACUUGUCUCUUCCAAGAAAUCAAAAGGACAUGAUGAGUUUCCUAGGUUGGCUCAAUUACAUCAGUCGAUUUAUUGCACAAUCUACGGUGAUUUAUGAAUCUAUAUUCAAGAUGUUGAGAAAGGGCACUGCUACUAGGUGGACAGAAGAUUGCAUGCAGGCUUUUGACAGAAUCAAGGAGUAUUUGUCUAAUCCGCCCGCUUUAGUACCUCAGAACCCGAAAGGCCAUUGUUGCCUAUAUUUGUCUGCGUCAGACAAGCCAUUUGGGUGUGUUUUAGGACAACAUGAUGAAUCCAGAAAGAAAGAGCAAGCUAUAUAUUACUUUAGCAAGAAGUUCACACUUUAUGAAGCAUGGUAUACAUUAUUGGAGCAUACAUGUUGUGCCUUGACUGGGAUUGCACAAAAGUUAAGGCAUUACAUGUAUGCAUAUACUACUUUUCUAAUUUCUAAAAUGGAUCCGCUCAGGUAUAUCUUUUAGAAGCCCAUGCCUAUCGGGAAGAUAGUAAAGUGACAAAUUUUGCUAAGUGAAUUUGACAUUGUCUACGUUACUCAAAAGGCUGUCAAAGGACAAGCUUUAGCCGAUCAUCUUGCUGAAAACCCUAUAGAUGAAGAGUGCCAGCCUCUUAAAACUUAUUUCCCAGGUGGAAAAGUUUUAUUUAUUAGAGAAGAUAUAUCACAGGAAUAUCCAAGCUGGAGAAUGUUCUAUGAUGGGGCUGCAAACUUUAAAGGAAUUAGUAUUGGGAAGUAUUAAUUUCAAAAUUGGGCUAGCAUUACCCAAUCUCAGUAAAGCUAAGGUUUCCAUGCACUAACAAUAUGGUAGAGUAUGAGGCUUGCAUUUUCGAUCUUAGAAUGACUGUUGAUAUGAACAUACAAGAACUCUUGGUUAUAGCGGAUUCAGAUUUAGUGGUGCAUCAAGUACAAGGUGAAUGGAGUGUCAAGAACGUAAAGUUGCUUCCAUAUUUGGAGUGUGUGAAAGAGUUGCGCAAAAAGUUCAUCAAGAUUGAAUUUUAACGUAUCCCGAAAACUCCAAAAUAAGUUAGCAGAUGCAUUACGACCUUAUCAUCUAUGAUUCAACAUCUAGACAAGAAUUUCAUAAAUCCUAUCAAGAUAAAUAUACAAGACCAAUUGACCUCCUUGGCUAGCGCACUACUAUGACAUUAAGAGGUAUCUCAAGAAAGGAGACUAUGCAUAAGGCAUAAUUAGUAUUCAGAAGAGAACACUCCGGAGAUUGGAAAAUCACUUUUUCCUAAAUGGAGAAAUACUUUAUAGGAGGACCCCACAUUUAGGAUUGUUAAGGUAUGUCGACGCUCAAGAGGCGAACAGGUUAGUCGAAGAAAUAUAUGGGGGCAUAUGUGGCCACAUAUGAAUGGUUUUGUUUUGGCAAAGAAGAUUCUUUGGGCUGGUUAUUUUUGGAUGACAAUGGAAACAGAUUGAAUUCACUUUUUGCAAAGAUGACAUCCAUGUCAGAUUAUAGUGAUUUGAUUUACGUUCCACCAAAUAAACCUAAUGUGAUGAGUUCUCCCUAACCGUUUGCAGCCCGGGGCAUGGAUAUCAUCGAUCCUAUUGAGCCAGUUGUAUCAAAUGGACAUAGAUUUAUUUUGGUAACUAAUGAUUAUUUCACUAAAUGGGUAGAAGCUUCUUCGUACAAGUCUAUAACAAAAUAAGUUGGUGAUAGAUUUUGUUUGCAAUAACAUUAUUUGUCGCUUUGGAGUUCUGGAGUCAAUUAUAACAGAUAAUGGAUCUAAUCUCAAUAGUGUCUUGAUGCAUGAGAUAUGUGAGAAGUUUAGGAUUAUUUAUCGUAAUUCCACUGCUUACCGUCUUCAGAUGAAUAGAGCUGUUGAGGCUGCCAACAAGAACAUUAAAUGGAUAUUGCGGAAAAUGUUUGAUAACUAUAAGCAUUGACAUGAGCAUUUUUCAUUUGCCCUCCUUGGCUAGCGCACUACUAUUAGGACUUCUAUUGGAGCAACACUUUAUCUUUUGAUUUAUGGAAUAAAAGUUGUAUUGCCCUCCGAAGUGGAGAUACCAUCUUUAAGAAUCAUUCAGGAAGCAGAAUUGACUGAUGCCAAGUGGAUUCAAAAUUGGUAUAAACAAUUGAUGCUAAUUAAUGAAAAGUGGAUGAACGCAGAUUGUCAUAGCAACUUUAUCAAAAUAGAAUGGCCAAAGCUUUCAACAAGAAUGUAAGAUCGAGAUAAUUCAAACUGGGACAAUUGGUAUUGAAGUGCAUAUUUUCACACCAAAAUGAAGCUAAGGGUAAUUUUGCACCUAACUGGCAAUGGCCUUACAUGGUUCAUCGAAUACUGACCGCCGGAGCAUUGAUCCUAGCAGAAAUGGAUGGUGAAGUGUAGACGAAAGCCAUUAAUGCAGAUGUUGUUAAGAGAUACUAUGUCUAGAAGCAUUUAUUUAUUUUUGUAAUGUUCUUCUUUUCUUUCAAUGUAAUGAAACUACGAAUGACCUAGUUCCUUCGGGAGAAUACGUAGGAAACUAACGUUGGGUUUGGUCUCUUAGUAGAAAUUUUCAAAAAUCCCUCUUUUCUUGUAAUGCGAACUGCGGUUCACCUGACUUCCUAGGCGGAUAUGUAGGCGGCCACAUAGGUCUCGGUCACAUUAGAAUUUUUUUUCAAAUUUCUCCUUUUUAUUUCGUAUGUAAUGAACUGUGUUCGACCUGAUUUCUGUGGGAUACGUAGGCAACCCACAGAGGGUUCGGCCCUUUAGUUUUAAAUUUUCUUAAGUGUAUUUCAUGAAUUACGCUCAGCUUGAUUCCCUUGUCGGGAUACGUAGGUAGCCUAUGCAAGACUCGGUCUCAUCAUUACGGAAUGCAAUAUUUCUCUCAAGUCAAAACUGGGACAGUUUUUAAGGGCAUCAUUUCAAGAAAACGGUUGGGAAAAUAUCAAGAGAUAUUGAAGAAUGUGGGUUCAUCCAAGUAAUUGAAGGAAAAAAUAGAUAUUCGCUUGGGAUAAAGGAUGUUCGCAUUGUUUCACAAUUCAAAAGUUUGACAGAAUUUUUUAACAACUAUGCAUAUUUUAUUUACCAAGUUAUUUAUCACUCUUGUUUAUAUUUUAUUUUUAACAAUUUUCAAUCAAACUUUCUUUUUUAUAAUCUCACUUUAAUUUAUUUGGAACUAUGCAUGACUUUCAUUUUCUUCUAUGGCAACACACAAUUGCUUUCAAGUGCAUCAAAGAAAGGCUAUAUAGAAAUUCACUGCUUGCAAAAGUUAUUUUUUCAUAAAUUAUUGGCUUAGGAAAAAGUCUUCAUCCAUCAAUCAUUUCGCUGAAAAUGCCCCAUCUUCAUAACUUACUUGGUUUAAGGCCUCAUUUUCAUCGCUGAAAGACAUCAUUCUCAUGAAUCAUCGACCUAAACUUCAUUUUUUAUAAUCUUUGUUUCCAGCUUGAAAGACCGUAUUUGCAUAAACUAACGCCCGAGAGGCGUUAUUUUCAUUAAUUCACUAUAAAUGCAUUUACUAUUUAUGUACUAAUUUCUUUAUCUAGUUUAGAUUUUGCAGGAGUUUUAGCACAAACGUGGAGCUAUUUCUUAGCAGUGAACUAGGGUAAUUUGUUGGAAACGAGGAUCAGACUCCCAAAAAUUAUCAAGAGUCUAGCUCGAACUUUACUUGGCCCUACUUUCAAAUAUCUUACUUACAUCUAUACCUUGAUGAUCAAGUUCUCUCACUUCUAUAUUCUAUUUUCCUGAAUCAUCAUUUUUAGUGUCAUCAUAUUUCGACACUGGGACAAUCUUCUUAAGCUUGUGUCUACCCUUUUUCUAAUCUACAAGAAUUAAAAAUCUUGAACUACAUAUGACCUCAUUCUCAUGCAACCUGAGAUAUGUUGGCAGCUCGGAGAUCGGAGUUCAAUAACAAUCUUCCCUAACAUUCUCCAUACAUAUCCUCCUAGACCCUAUCAGCUGGGAUAAAAUUAGGUUACUAGUCAACUUCUUUAUCUGAAAAAUCUUUCAUCAUUUUUGAAUAAUUAGGGACAAAUGUUGAUACUCAAUUUUGCCCCGUCUUUUUUCAAGUCAUGUCUUUAAACUUCUAAUAAUUUUGGUAACUUAAAAAAUACAUGAGUGUAAUUUCUAUAAUUAGGAGUUCAUACCAGUCUUGCCACCAUUUAUAUUUUUUAAUUAAGAAUCAUCAAAAAUAUUAUUAUUAUUAUUAUCAUUAUUAUUUUUAUUAAUAUUUGUUACUAUUUUUAUUAUAUUUUUAUCGUCACAUUCCCUAUAAACUACCGCGUAAGGCAUUAUAUUUAUUUAAUCGAAUGAAGUAUUUUUGUGAUUUUAUAAUUUAUAAAUACUAUCGUUCAAUUUCAAAUUUAUCAUGCAACUUUGUUUCGAUACUUAUAUUUUAAUCUCGAAUGAUCUUUUAUUUAUUCGAAUAUUUUUAAAUAUGUUUUAUUAAAAAUGUUAUUUUAUGUUAAUUUAGAAGCCCAAAUAAUAUAAAAAAGAAAGUGUUUUAAAUCAGCCCAUGUUGCAAUAUUCAUGCAAUUCUGGCUCAAAUUCAGGCAUGAUCCACUAAAGCCCACCUUUUAUCUCCCUUCUUAUACCUCAGCACCACGUGGAUGCUAUGUUUGCGUCACAUAAGGCGCCAAACGGUCAUAACACACAUUAAACACACACUUGUUGCACUUCUCCCUCACCCUUGCACACACUCAGCACCCCCCCUCUUGCCGCAUGUCUCAUCCCAAAAGGUUGGUCAAAAAACAAUUGCAAAUUCAACUUCUUCCUUACCUUAAAUUGCCUAUUUUAACCCUACUUCCUUCACCUAGCAGUCUGUUUGGAUGGUGGUUUCCCAUGGUAUGGUUACCAUGGGAACCAUGUUUUUUUGAUUGUUUGCUAAAAGAAAUGGUAUGAUAUGAUAUUUUUCCAUGAUUUGAUAACCAUGGAAUCCAUCAAUUUCUUGAACCACCAAUUUGGUGGUAUGCUAUGGUUUUUUUUUUCCAACUNNNNNNNNNNNNNNNNNNNNNNNNNNNNNNNNNNNNNNNNNNNNNNNNNNNNNNNNNNNNNNNNNNNNNNNNNNNNNNNNNNNNNNNNNNNNNNNNNNNNNNNNNNNNNNNNNNNNNNNNNNNNNNNNNNNNNNNNNNNNNNNNNNNNNNNNNNNNNNNNNNNNNNNNNNNNNNNNNNNNNNNNNNNNNNNNNNNNNNNNNNNNNNNNNNNNNNNNNNNNNNNNNNNNUAUAUAUUUUAAUCCUAUUUGACCCUUAUCAACAAAAUACAUGCUAACUCCUAACAGCUGAUUGAUUUAAAAAACUUUUGUCAACAAAAUUCAAAAAAACCUCAAUUCAAAUAAAAAACAACUGAUUAAAAAAAAACUUUAUCAAAAAAGAAUUAGGAAAAAAAAUCCAAUCUUUACUUGUAAAACAACAUUCAAGAAAUAAUAAUUUCCAAGAUUUUACAAUCGGGGAAUUACCAAAUAAUUUGUUGAGCUAUUACUAAUUUAUUCCAAACUAUUACAGUUUCGCUAGCAAACCUGCCAUCUUGCUUGCAAGUUAACGUGGAGUCUUACACCAGCUAUUGCAGAUGUAACAAGAAUGAAGGUGAGGAAAAGGUUUUAGUUAUUCUUCAAGUCGUUUCUAUGAAUAUAUCAUCCUUUGGCAUAGUUUUUCACUGUACUUGUUUUUAAAAAUCUGUAUUGUUCACAGAUUCUUUCAAGUGAAACUGAUGGAUACCCAAUUUAUUAAUAAUUAGGGGUAUUUUCAUAAAUUUACCUGUUAUCAUACAGUAUCAUACCAUCAAACCAAACAAAAAAACUAUUAUUAAACCAUAGUGAACGAUACAGUCUAUCCAAAUAUGGUAUUAUAUCAUAUUGUAUUAUACCAUACCAUACCAUACUAUACCAUACAUUAUGAAACCAUGGCAAACCACCAUCCAAACAAAGGCUAAAAUGCUCAUAAUACACUAAACCCUAAAAAUUAGGCCUGAAUCUCCCACCUCUCCUAUUGAAUACACGACUUCUCUUCCAAAUAGAACUCAACGUCUUCUUUCCCUCUUCAAACAACAGUACAGACCCCUUUCACCAUGGAUGAAUUUUGCUUCUCCAUUGUUGUGUAAUGGCUAUGUCAACCACGCGAAGGACCAAGUCCAUCCAAGCUCACAACUCCCAAUAUUUCAAAUUCAAAUGAUUGAAAAUAUAUAAUGAUUGUUGUGUAAUGGCUAUCCCAAUAUUAAUUCUAAUAUAUAAAUGAUUUAUAAUAAUUAAUUAGGGGUAAUAUAGUAAAUUAUGGAGCAAUUAGGGGUAAUAUAUGCAGACAUGUC
This 13922-nucleotide long non-coding RNA is filed under the name Capsicum annuum. Its description in RNAcentral is "long non-coding RNA (CANN_LNC011756)". The record is from RNAcentral. Lineage: Eukaryota; Viridiplantae; Streptophyta; Magnoliopsida; Solanales; Solanaceae.